This 254-nucleotide ribosomal RNA is filed under the name uncultured bacterium. RNAcentral's name for it is "partial 16S ribosomal RNA". It matches the Rfam family "Bacterial small subunit ribosomal RNA", at positions 524 to 776 of the family's 1533-position model. The record is from RNAcentral.
UACGAAGGGGGCUAGCGUUGCUCGGAAUCACUGGGCGUAAAGGGUGCGUAGGCGGGUCUUUAAGUCAGGGGGUGAAAUCCUGGAGCUCAACUCCAGAACUGCCUUUGAUACUGAAGAUCUUGAGUUCGGGAGAGGUGAGUGGAACUGCGAGUGUAGAGGUGAAAUUCGUAGAUAUUCGCAAGAACACCAGUGGCGAAGGCGGCUCACUGGCCCGAUACUGACGCUGAUGCACGAAAGCGUGGGGAGCAAACAGG